CCAACAUUGACAUCCACAGUCCUGUGACUGUGGCUGUCUUUGUGGCAAACGGGAGCUGAGUACCCUAUCUGGGUGUGAGGUAUAUUCCCUUUCCACAGUGUUGGAGAGAAAACCAGUCCCCUAAACUUGUUUGGGUGUGGGCUGACCUCUGCAUAUUCCAUAGACUUCUCUGAGCCAUUGUGGCCGUGACAGGGGAGACAAACCAUGCAGAGAACAAAA
Molecule: small nucleolar RNA, 219 nt
Filed under: Haliotis rufescens (red abalone)
Lineage: Eukaryota; Metazoa; Mollusca; Gastropoda; Lepetellida; Haliotidae
Description: small nucleolar RNA SNORA73 family
Rfam family: Small nucleolar RNA SNORA73 family
About the family: U17 (SNORA73A and SNORA73B) also known as E1 belongs to the H/ACA class of small nucleolar RNAs (snoRNAs). Vertebrate U17 is intron-encoded and ranges in length from 200-230 nucleotides, longer than most snoRNAs.
Source: RNAcentral